ACUGAUAGUCCAGGCAGGGAGGGACGAGGGGAAUUCCACACAGUUGUCGCUCCCACGACAUCAGUGACCGGAGUCCGGAUCCACGGCCCGUGGACGAUGGGGUCUCGCAAACUGAAGGUGUUUUACAGGGAAAAAGCUACAGCUGUUGCUGGGUCCCAGCUCGUCCAGUUGCCGUGUGGUCACUAUGCGGAUGUCCCCUGUCUGAGGGAUUUAAUCCAGCGCUCUCUGGAGAAGGGUCUCCACUCAGUCCCGUGUUCACUGUGUGACGGGGGUCGCUUGCCGUGGCAGAUCCUGAGGGUCGUGCUGCUGGAUUCCCCCCC
Leucoraja erinaceus (little skate) is the source of this 320-nucleotide long non-coding RNA. RefSeq lists it as uncharacterized. The transcript is spliced from 3 exons. The record is from RefSeq and is a predicted model, not a curated record. Lineage: Eukaryota; Metazoa; Chordata; Chondrichthyes; Rajiformes; Rajidae.